CAACAUGUUCCUAAGCAGGCUGACUGGGGUGUUAGCAAACAGCAGCAGCAGGAAAUCUCCGGCCCCUGACAGGGAAGACUGCCCUCCAAGCAGUGAGUUUAAAAAGUCUCAUGGAAAAUAGAGCUACUGACUGCAUAUCUCUGUUGUGGUCACCAUACAGUUGACUGAAUCUGCUGAGUAUCCAGUACCCCCCUAUACAUUCUAGAGGAAAAGGAAAACCUAGGCUCUUAGGAAGCUGAUGAUCAUCUGAGAGGCAAGUCGUAUACUUACCUUAUCAGUUAGAUCAAUUAAUGUAAAUUAGUGUGGAAUAGACUGAGCUACAGUUGGCUGACUUGCUGUGGGUCAUCAGACAGCAUCUGAUUAUUUCCUAAUAUGUGCUCAACAAUGAGUCAGGUGAGAUGGGAGCUAUGAAAGGAGAGUACAACCCAUCUCUGUCCCAAAGAAAUCUUAUGUCAGCUCAGUACAUAAGAUUUACUUAGAUAAAAUAACAAGUAGCAAGAAACAGUGUUCAAAUGAAUGGUAUUGCUCUCCUAUGCCUGAGAAUAUAAAAUUUCAGAAAAUUAAGAGAACCGCAUAAGCCAGUUUAGUUGUAGGAGGCUUUGUGAAAAGUAGGUCUUAGGAUACUCAUUAAUUCAUUUAUUAUUCAUGCAUUUUCCAUCCACACAACAAAUAUUACAAGCUGUAUACGAUGUUCCAAGUUCAGAUAAAGUAAUGAAGGAGCCAGGCAUGGAUUCCCAUCCUUAUGAAGCUUAAAGUCUAAUGUGAGACAGAUGUUGGUCAUAUAAUUGCACAGAUAUUAAGUUAUAAACUGUGGUAAGUGCCUUGAAAGAAUAUAGGAGGAGUAGUUUGGAGGAACAGGCAGUCAGAGUGAUAGUUGCUCACAUAUCAAAAGGAUGAGUAAGAGGAUCAGCCAAUGGAAGUAGGGAGUAGUCUAGGUAGAGGGCACAUAUGUGCAGAGACUCAAGGGGGAGAAGGCACUGCCCAUCUAUAGAAAGGCAGUAAGGCAGUGUAACUGGUAUACAGUAGGAGGGAAAAUAGCAUCCAGUGUGUUGAAAAGAUAAUUCUUGUUUCUGACAUUUCUAGGGUCCUGGA
RNAcentral lists this long non-coding RNA (1092 nucleotides) under Sus scrofa (pig). Its description in RNAcentral is "lncRNA (ENSSSCG00070021705.1)". The record is from RNAcentral. Lineage: Eukaryota; Metazoa; Chordata; Mammalia; Artiodactyla; Suidae.